UCCGAAGGGGGCUAUCGUUGUUCGGAAUUACUGGGCGUAAAGCGCACGUAGGCGGGUUUGUAAGUAGGGGGUGAAAUCCCAGGGCUCAACCCUGGAAUUGCCUUCUAGACUGCAAGCCUGGAGGUCAGGAGAGGCGAGCGGAAUUCCGAGUGUAGAGGUGAAAUUCGUAGAUAUUCGGAGGAACACCAGUGGCGAAGGCGGCUCGCUGGACUGAUACUGACGCUGAGGUGCGAAAGCGUGGGGAGAAAACAGG
Molecule: ribosomal RNA, 253 nt
Filed under: uncultured bacterium
Lineage: Bacteria
Description: partial 16S ribosomal RNA
Rfam family: Bacterial small subunit ribosomal RNA
Source: RNAcentral